GUAUUGGGAUUUUUUUAAGUCUGGCGUAGAGGCGGGGGUUUAGGUGCGGGUUAGGGGAGGUGGUCUGGCGGCGGCGGCGGUUUGGAAGGGUUGCGGCGGCGGCGGUUUGGAAGGGUUGCGGCGGCGGGGGUUUAGAAGGGUGGCGGCAGCGCGCGACGGCGGGGGUUUCGAAGGGCGGCGGCGGCGCGCCGACGGAAGGUGAGUCAGGUGGCGGCCGUAUCGGGGAGUGGUGGUGUUGGCGAGACGGCGGGUGUUUAGCUCUGGGAGGUGUCCUGACGUUCCGGAGGCGGGGGUUGGUAGGGUGGUGGCUGCCGUCGAGAGGUUGGCUCGUGAAGGCGGCAGCGGGAGGUAGUGCCGUCGGGGAGGCGGGGAGGCGGCGGGGGUUGUUGGUUGUGUGACGACGGCUGGUGAUGACAGCAGCGGAGUGAUGUAUCGCCGCGGCGGCUCGUGGGCUAACUGUACCUCGUCGUGGCAGCAGCGGCUCGGUGGGGUGGCCGCCGGUGGUAGGAGCGGUGGUUGGAUGAGCGCGUGAAUGAGGAGCUCGUCCGGAGGGGCCUUCGAAGUGGCUCGUGGUUCGGCGCCCAGGCGGAGGAGGUGUGCGCGGGAGCUUCGUCGUCCAGCAGCUGGGAGAGGAGUUGUAGGAAAGACACCUGAAGUGACGGAGGAUAUGAAGUAAACUGUCCGUUAGAAACACUUUAACCAGUUCUUACCUGUUCUCAACCUACCCCUAAUGCUACUCUACGAGUUAGAAUCACUGGUACUACUCCAAGUUGGACUACUACACGUUCUCCUCUAGCUGGAUCUACUAAUGCUACUCUACGAGUUCAAGAAUCCAGGGUUUGCUGAUCUCUACAACUACUGUACGGUUCACUGCCGUAACUUCUCGUACUUCUGGUACUCAACCUAGUUUUUUGCUUCCCCUUCUUCCCUUUUUUUCGUGAUCUUACGUGUUACACAUACUAAAGACUACAUGAUACAACACCUACGGUUUGACUUCCUAACCCAUUACCCUUCGCGACACUACAUAGCGUACCGGUAUGUUCGUAAACCUUCACCUGUUCAGGUACUGCUUUCGUCCUUACGCUGGUGUUCGUUCGACUCUAAAGGGAUGUCUCAACUACCUCGAAACCUUCUAGAAGUUAGACGACUUCUCAACCCUCUAAACCUUCUAGAAGUUCGAUCACUUCUAAACCAUCUGGAUAUUAAUUCAAGCAUCUCACUAAUACUGUGAACGAGACGAGUAAAACGACCAACAAUUCGGUCACAUACGAGUAAAACGAACGCACCGUGUGGGAUCUUUGUAUACAUGAGGAAAACACCGUGUGUAAAUCUUUGUACUACAUAACAUGGAAAACACCGCGCUGGUCGAAUAUGUAUACCAACAAUACAAUUAAAUAGCUUAGUUGAAAUUCCAAGACCCACUCCC
This 1426-nucleotide ribosomal RNA is filed under the name Triticum aestivum (bread wheat). RNAcentral describes it as "partial small subunit ribosomal RNA". The record is from RNAcentral. Lineage: Eukaryota; Viridiplantae; Streptophyta; Magnoliopsida; Poales; Poaceae.